This 244-nucleotide long non-coding RNA is filed under the name Nicotiana benthamiana. RNAcentral describes it as "long non-coding RNA (NBEN_LNC009472)". Lineage: Eukaryota; Viridiplantae; Streptophyta; Magnoliopsida; Solanales; Solanaceae. The record is from RNAcentral.
GAUAAUCGAUUUUUAUGUUUAACAGCUAAAAUCCUGCAAAGCCAAAACUGUUAGAUAAUCGAUUGUAGUGUUGUAUAAUCGAUUAUGUCAAUUUUCCAGCAUAAUAAACAUAAAACGUAAAUGGGGAAUAAUCGAUUAUUGACUUUAGAGAAAUCGAUUAUUCUGCACCAGUGUCUGUAAUUCCCCCUGUCUUUGGGGCGAUACCUGCAAAAAAGAAUUAGGCGCCUCCGACGCUCAAGUUAGU